UACGGAGGGUGCAAGCGUUGUUCGGAUUCACUGGGUAUAAAGGGUGCGCAGGCGGCCCGAUAAGUCAGGGGUGAAAUAUGACGGCUUAACCGUCAAACUGCCCCUGAAACUGUCAGGCUUGAGUUCGAGAGAGGUAGGUGGAAUUCCAGGUGUAGCGGUGAAAUGCGUAAAUAUCUGGAGGAACACCGGUGGCGAAGGCGGCCUACUGGCUCGAUACUGACGCUCAGGCACGAAAGCAUGGGGAGCGAACGGGAUUAGAUACCCCCGUA
RNAcentral lists this ribosomal RNA (269 nucleotides) under uncultured prokaryote. RNAcentral describes it as "partial 16S ribosomal RNA". It matches the Rfam family "Bacterial small subunit ribosomal RNA", at positions 524 to 792 of the family's 1533-position model. The record is from RNAcentral.